This 497-nucleotide ribosomal RNA is filed under the name uncultured bacterium. RNAcentral's name for it is "partial 16S ribosomal RNA". It matches the Rfam family "Bacterial small subunit ribosomal RNA", at positions 28 to 507 of the family's 1533-position model. The record is from RNAcentral.
GAUGAACGCUGGCGGCGUGCCUAAUACAUGCAAGUCGAGCGAACGGACGAGAAGCUUGCUUCUCUGAUGUUAGCGGCGGACGGGUGAGUAACACGUGGAUAACCUACCUAUAAGACUGGGAUAACUUCGGGAAACCGGAGCUAAUACCGGAUAAUAUUUUGAACCGCAUGGUUCAAAAGUAAAAGACGGUCUUGCUGUCACUUAUAGAUGGAUCCGCGCUGCAUUAGCUAGUUGGUAAGGUAACGGCUUACCAAGGCAACGAUGCAUAGCCGACCUGAGAGGGUGAUCGGCCACACUGGAACUGAGACACGGUCCAGACUCCUACGGGAGGCAGCAGUAGGGAAUCUUCCGCAAUGGGCGAAAGCCUGACGGAGCAACGCCGCGUGAGUGAUGAAGGUCUUCGGAUCGUAAAACUCUGUUAUUAGGGGAGAACAUAUGUGUAAGUAACUGUGCACAUCUUGACGGUACCUAAUCAGAAAGCCACGGCUAACUACGUG